GACUUCACUCAAGCCGCGAAGAUGAACGCGCGUGAUUGGUCUUUGUCAAAAUGUCAAACUGGAGAAGACCAAACUUCGUGAAGUGCUACUUUCAUGCUUAAGAAAGUUAUUUAUCGUGGUUUUGUUACGUAUGAAAGUGAAUUGAGAAUGUUUAAUCUGAAAUUCCACAGUGAAGUUGGAUAAAGAUGAAGGAAAAUAAGAGCAAGGAAUGGCUAGGAAAAUGUAGAAAUAUUUGCUUGGAUUUUGGUGUUUACAAGAUGCUUCAAGAAACAAAUGAUGUUAAAGUUCAGAACUCUCUUAAAAAUGCGUUUGGUCAUCCUCCCCCCCACACCCCCUUUUAAAUCUCAUUUAGUAUAAAGACCAAAAUCCUAUUCAAAUAUCACAUAGCGACUUACGAUGGUUUACCAAUAUCUACAAGACCAUAUCAAAAUUCGAAACUAACUUUCCAGCACCACCAUUAUAUUCUGGGCCUAUGUAAUGUGUGUACUGUGAAACUAGAAGGGGUGCUAGAACACUGUUACUAGCAUCUCAUUGUCUUGAAAUUUCACUUUAUUCUUUUUCUGAAUCUUAAAAGACUUUCCAGUCUUCAAGAGUCUGUUAGCAAAAUGCCAGUAACGAUGUAAUAAUGGCUCUUCAGAAUAGGCUAGAACCUAGUCCCCUGUAGGAAAGGUAAGCAAGAGAGAAAGGGAAGUAGCUGGAGAGGAGGUUCUGAAAGGGGUGGUAAAAAACCACACACAACAAAAUAUGCUGUCUUCACAUUUUCAUUCUGGGCCCUGACCGAUACCACCAUUUUCAUUUGGGGCUCUCAGCUUCAACUCCAUUAUCCCCACGUGCUGUUGCUGUCUCUCUGUCCUUGCAUCUCAGUUUAUUGCUGUUCUUUCUGUCCUGUACUUUCAUGAAUUUCAAGAUCCGAGUCAGAACUUUUCCUGAACACAUCUUUCCACCACUUCUGGUCACAUCUCUCCCACAAUCCCCUGAUACACAACUGAAUGCCUAGGUCACUUAUGUUGAGACUGAAUUAUGUAAUAAAUAAUAUGACUGGCCUUUGAGGGUGUAUGUUUGACUUCCCAGCCACACUGUAAACUGUGAGAGAUUAAAGAACAUUAUUCUGUAUUCUUCUUUUACCCUCUAUACUACUAGUACAGUGCUUAUCCCACAGGAACGAUGACUUCUGUUGAGGUACAUGUUCUGUUCUUUAUGUUCUUCCGAGUGGACAAAUGGAUAAAAUAUUUGCUUCAUGUUGUUUUCCUAAGGCCUGAUUUUUUUUUUUUCAAGGUCUUAGACUGAAAGAACGUGCACAUGCCAGAAUUAAGGUAGGGUCAGAUGGAGAGUGAGACUCUUAAGCAGGCUCUGCUACCAGCACAGAACUGGUUGGGGCUGCAUUUCACCACCCUGAGAUCAGGACCUGAACUGAAAUUAAGAGUCUGGCACUUCUAACUGAGCCGCCUAGGUACCCCUCUAAGGCCUAUUAUUUUUUUAUUUAGCUUUGUUGUUUAAAUACUUUUAGACAGCAAAGAAGUUUUGAGAAAGGCAACAGUGAACCAUAUUUUAAAUUUAAAAACCAACCACCAGAGUCAAGCAAUAAAGAAAGGGGUAGGGGGGAUGCCAGCAGGUAACAUUAGAAUAGAAUAUAGAAAUUGUUGAAUCUCCAAUAGCACAAUUGUAUGUUUUCUUCUACAUGGAAAUUUUUAAUGCAAAAUGUUGAAGGUACAGAAGUAGUUGGGAAGGAAAUCCUUGAAAUAGUAAGCUAUUUUGGAACGUAAAGGGUUUUAACUGCAUUCUCGACUUUGAAAUUUUAAAAAAUGCCCAAGGUGUUUCAUUUAUUUAGAAAUGAAUGCCAUAUCACACAUGAAAAGAGUCUUGUUAUUUGGUUAUUCAAGGAUUUCCCCCGCCAAAAGUACUGUAUUUAGACCUACUGCAAAUCCACACUACAGAAGCUCUGCAUAAAGAAUAAUGUCUGAUUCACUUAUGCUUACAAGGUAGAGGAAUAGACAAAUUUAUAUAAAAUGUGGAUAAUUCCAUUCAGCAAGUUGUAGUGGAAACAUUAGGUGUUUGGUGUCAAACUGAAGUUUGAAAUCUGUCUCUGUGUCUUUCUAGUUUUAUGGCCUAAGACAAGACAGCUAUUAUCUCUGGCCAUCACAUUCCUCAUCUGUGAAAUAGCAAUCAUGAUAACAACCUUCCUAAACUGAUGUGAGCAUCACAUGGAAUCACAUGGAAGUAGAUGCUCAGAAUAGCUGCUGGAAUUGUUAUAUUGCAGAAGGCAAACAUCAAUUCUAUUAUAAGGGGACUGUUGUUAGACUGUGGCUCAAUUCUUUGGUGUUUCUGAGCAACAGCUCCUUCAUGCCCAUCUCAGAACAAACACAAUCUGCAUUCAGAACAGAACCGUUUACAAGUUCAAUGGAGUUAUUUUGGGUGAGUCAUUGAAAACACAGUACAAAACCUUUCCUCACUCACCAGAAAUGCAUUUUUAAAAUAAAGCCAAAGUGAACAAGGCUUGGCAAGUUUGAGGGUGGACAAAAUGGGGAGAGAACAGGAUUUCUGCCAAACUCAGAGAGGAUUUUGCUAAACCAUUUUUGUCUAUUCCUUACAUUCAACUCUACCAAUUUUUCUUACCAUACUAACCAAAAAGUAUAAGAUUGAGCAGGUGGGACAUCAAAACACAAACAUUUCAGUUCAGCUACCACUGUGAUACUGAAUAGAACCAGCAGAUCCCUUAUAUCUUAGCAUCAGUUAAGUCCCCCUUUUUGUCAUUCUUUAAUUCAGAAGCUAUAAGAUGUAUCCACUAAAUAAUCUUCUUAUUCUAAUUAAAUCAAUUUGGACAAAUUAAUAAUAAUUA
This is a long non-coding RNA of Mustela lutreola (European mink), 2836 nucleotides long. RefSeq lists it as uncharacterized. Lineage: Eukaryota; Metazoa; Chordata; Mammalia; Carnivora; Mustelidae. The record is from RefSeq and is a predicted model, not a curated record. The transcript has 3 exons.